Long non-coding RNA from Girardinichthys multiradiatus, 682 nucleotides. RefSeq lists it as uncharacterized. Lineage: Eukaryota; Metazoa; Chordata; Actinopteri; Cyprinodontiformes; Goodeidae. The record is from RefSeq and is a predicted model, not a curated record. The transcript is spliced from 3 exons.
AAGAAAGGUCGCUUUUCAAAGAUCAAGACAGCGUUCAACAGAAACGCAUCAGUCCUGUACAACAAGAAGCGAAAUCUGGAGGUUUUAUUGCACAGACCCGUCCCUGGAAAUAUUUAACACCAGCCAACAGACAGCGACUCUCUGCUCUGCAUAGCAGAGCAACACUUGUGAGAGCCUUAAUGAGCGAGGUAACGUUGAUGGUAGGACAGAUUGGUUCCAGACCCGGACAGCGCAGAAAGAAAGUUUCUACAGCUGCACGGAACCGUCGAAAUAAAGCCUCAUCUUUAACGCUUCUGGCUGCAUGUCAGAUUCUGUUACAGAAGCAGUUUGGUGACAUCAAGGUGAUUUUAAACUGAACUGAUCACUGUGUUUUUUUGUUUGAUUUUUCUUAUGCUCAUAUAAAUGGAUAACUGAAUCAGACUUGCCCUGGAUGAAAUAAAAAAUUUAGUAACUGAGCUUAACAAAAUCCCUAUAGCUGCACAUGUUUCAGAGGAAGAAGCAUCUCUUGUUAACAACCACAAUGAAGAUCAACACGGUGACUGUUUAAACUUAAUCGAUCAGGCUAUUGAAGAAUACUCAAUACUUGGUCGGGAAUCCUUUGGCAGAAAUGACUGCUUCAAUGCGGCGUGGCAUGGAGGCAAUCAGCCUGUGGCACUGCUGAGGUCUUAUGGAGGCCCAGGAU